GGGGGGGGGGGGGGUGUUUGUUUGUUUUAUAGAAUCGUAUAAUCACUAAGGUUGGAAAAGACCCACAGGAUCAUCCAGUCCAACCAUUCACCCUUCACCAAUGGUUCUCGCUAAACCAUGUCCCUCAACACAACAUCCAAAGUUCUGUUUUGCUAAAUCAUUUCUGUAUUUCUUAUAACUGUGCUUUGUGAUACCACAUUCAUUUUUAGUAUGACUCAGAGCCAGGUGGUUAAGCCUUUCUUUUUAUUUACACAUAAAUUGAUACAAUCGGUAAGUAGACUUCAUUGCAAGGUAGCAAAUUUACAAACCUUUCCCUGGGUUGAAAAAUCCUUCUGCAUUAUUCAGCUGUAAUUCAUGUAAAAUAGACUCUCAUAAUUAGCAUCUGGUGGUUGUGAGCAGUUGAAGGAUUUUAUCACCAGCUCUAUUCUAGAAGUUUAUCCAGUUGAGUUACAUAGGUGAAUACCUAAACCAUAUGGUGGAAUUUGUUUCCUUCUUGAAUGAUCCAAGCACACAUGCAUACACAUGCAUGCACUUACAAAUACACAAUUCUCCCAAUUCUGUAUGUUCAUCUAUUUUAUAUAUGCAUUUACAUUUAAAGACUUAUUUAUAUAUACUUGUAAAUAUUCAGAUACAUACACAUACGCAUUUGUACCUGCACAUUCACACACAUUCACAUCUUGUCUGCUAAAAUCAAUUAUUUUCAUUAAUUAAAUUAUUUCUCCGUCAGUUUGAAUUCUCCACCAUUUUGUCCAUCUACUUCGCAUUAGCAUGCUUACAGAAAGGGGAUGUCUCUUCUGGGAGUUCAUGAAAUGAAAAGGAAAUCAAGAUGUGAUCAAAAAUCACCAAGAACUCUGUGGGUCUUUUUCCCAGGUUACUGUCUCUCUUGCAGUCUUACAUUGUAAGAACUCCUCCUGCAGCUCAAAUUAACCAGAGUGCUAUGCCAUGACUCUUCAGGCAGAAAGGCACACAUGCUUCUGUUACAUAGUAUGUGUAUUACAUGAGAAAAUACCUUACCAUUCUGUGUCUUUGAGAAUGUCAUGCAUGAUUCUCUUCCUGGCUCAUAUCCCAUCUUAAACCCAAAGCAUUUUCAUCUUUUAAAGACACCAUUGUUAGCUGGGGCACCCCAGGAGAAUCAAUAACCCCCUGUGGUAAAUGCACACUUCUCUGGCCUGACAUAGCCAGUCCAUCAAACAUUCCCCUGCUUAAAAGGAAAGCAGAAUUCCUCUUCCCCGUCAUUAAGUCAAUUCCUCAAAUCAAUGUACAUAUAUCAAUUAUGUGCAGAAUAAAUGAAAUAAAGCAAAUGCUUUAAAAGCAAACCUGGUAUCCAGGCAUAAGUCAUGGCUAAAACAUGAAGGAACCAAUCUAGGACUGAGAGCCAGUGGGGCAGUAUAUAUGCAGCAUGCUGUGUUCAGAGGCAAAGGAGACACAUGACUGUUCUCUCAUCACUUGCCUUUUCUGCCUAUCUGCUACAUGGUCAGAGGGAAGCAAUGAGAAGAUGCACCUAGAGACAAGCAACGACUGGCAGCAAUUAACUAACCUGAUGGGGGAUAUGUCCAUGAUGGGGAAUGGACAGUGGAACCCAAUGUAGUGCUGCUAAAGAAGUGGUCAGGUUUCCAGCAUGGCUCUGACCUGUGCUUUCUACCUAUCCUCUCCCAGCCAUGCCUGGCACCCAUCCUUUGUAGUAGUCCAUCUCUGCACCAAAUCCACAUGCCAGUUAACACGUGGCUACCCUGAUUUUGACCUAAAGCCACAAGCAUACGUGACUUGGGUCUGCUAACCUCAAUGCCAGAAAACUGUCCCAGCAUAUUUCAUUUGCUGGUCUAGAUGUAUCCAUACAAAGAUAAAUGUGGUGAGGUCUUUUUGCAGGCUUUUUUUGUCAUUACCCUACCCAGUGUCUAUCAAAGUACACAAUAUUAGGUCAAAGAUUUUCUAGGAUUAGUUUUUAGUGAACUUGUCAGCUGCACAGCUGAAUGGACUGAGCAUGGAGAGAGGUUCCAGCAGUCAUACCUGCAAGGACAUUGCAUAUGACUUUGAGAAGGGAUUAAUCAAAAAUGGCAGCAAUGAGAAAUGGCAGAAGUGGAAUGUCUGAACUGAGUGAUGGGUCAUCACCCUAAAUUAUCUUGAUCCUUACAUCAGAGGGAGCAGGAGAGGAGGAACCUAAAAAAAUGAUAUAAAGGAAAAGAACAGUCAUCUCUUUUCCCUACACAUUAUGUGAGCUACUUAGGAGUAUCUAAAACAAAUGUAUAAGAGGUAUCCCAGUUCUGCACUUCAGGUACGUAGCUUCCCUCAAUCUGAAAUACGGGCGAACUUACUGCUAGUGUGUACGAGUUAUGUAAAGGCAAUUCUCCACCCUAUCCUUCGAGAGCAGAACACUAGAAGAAGAGACUAUCUGAAAAGCAAAAUCUGACAACGACAGCAACAAGGGAAACAGUAUUUAUAGAAGAUUGUGUAACAUGCGUUUGAAUGAGAGACUUAUAAUCUCACAAAUAAACUGUGCUGCUGUCAGAUUUCAUUAUUUCAUUCUGAGUCUUGCAAUUUUUAGUGUUUCUUAAAGCCGCCAUCUGAGCUAAUGAUAUGACUAUGUUGGCUUACUUUUUAAAAAAAGAUGUAAGAAUAGAGUCUUGGCUGCAAAGAAAAGCUUAAUUUAACUCACAUUUUCCUCUAUGGUGAAAAAUAUGUAAAAUUACUUAAUUUGGGAGCUGUAAAUUGCAUUUCGUAUCUUGAUUGGUAGCAUGAUUUAUCAACUGGGAGUUUUUACAUUUUUGCCACUUAGAAGUCUGAAAACACCAGAAUUAACCACAUAUAAACUCAAGAUCCUAAAAAUGUUCUGUAGAAGACUGGGUUUAUUAUUAAAUAUUAAGACAAAGUGAGUAUUUUUCAGAACCCUUUGCAUGCUCUCAGAAGUACAUUACCUCCCUCCAUUUGUGUUGCUGUAUGUUUCUCUCAGUUCCCAGAAAUCUACCCAAAAAUACAUUUUAAAAUUGCAUCUAUAAAGAGUAGGGAUGGCAAGUUACAGCUCCAUCUAAGCAAAGGCAUACAACUAAUGACUCUUCAAAAUGAAGCUGUAGAGAUGCAUUCCUGAAAAAUGUCAGCUCCUUGCACGCUGCAACUCUCAAUGUGACCUGACUGAAAGCCCACUGAAGCCAAAGCAAAGGCAUUCAUUGACCUGGAUGUCCUUUGUACAAUGUCUCUGCAGUCAUGAGGGCACUUCUUCAUUCAAAGAGGGGAAGUAAAGAUGGUUUUAGUGAAUUCCUUUAAAACAGAUGGAGAAUUUGUUGCGAGUCGGCUGUUUCAGAUUUGUGCAGCUCAAUUC
Long non-coding RNA from Gallus gallus (chicken), 3313 nucleotides. Lineage: Eukaryota; Metazoa; Chordata; Aves; Galliformes; Phasianidae. The record is from Ensembl.